This 253-nucleotide ribosomal RNA is filed under the name uncultured bacterium. RNAcentral describes it as "partial 16S ribosomal RNA". It matches the Rfam family "Bacterial small subunit ribosomal RNA", at positions 524 to 776 of the family's 1533-position model. The record is from RNAcentral.
UACAGAGGUCCCAAGCGUUGUUCGGAUUCACUGGGCGUAAAGGGUGCGUAGGCGGUCGGGUAAGUCUGAUGUGAAAUCUCCAAGCUCAACUUGGAAAUGGCAUCGGAUACUAUUCGGCUCGAGGAAUGGAGGGGAGACUGGAAUACUUGGUGUAGCAGUGAAAUGCGUAGAUAUCAAGUGGAACACCAGUGGCGAAGGCGAGUCUCUGGACAUUUCCUGACGCUGAGGUACGAAAGCCAGGGGAGCAAACGGG